RNAcentral lists this ribosomal RNA (253 nucleotides) under uncultured bacterium. Its description in RNAcentral is "partial 16S ribosomal RNA". It matches the Rfam family "Bacterial small subunit ribosomal RNA", at positions 524 to 776 of the family's 1533-position model. The record is from RNAcentral.
UACGGGGGGGGCAAGCGUUGUUCGGAAUUACUGGGCGUAAAGGGCUCGUAGGCGGCCAACUAAGUCGGACGUGAAAUCCCCAGGCUCAACCUGGGAACUGCGUCCGAUACUGGAUGGCUUGAAUCCGGGAGAGGGAUGCAGAAUUCCAGGUGUAGCGGUGAAAUGCGUAGAUAUCUGGAGGAACACCGGUGGCGAAGGCGGCUUCCUGGACCGACACUGACGCUGAGGCGCGAAAGCUAGGGGAGCAAACGGG